UGGGGAAUAUUGCCCCAUGGGCGAAAGUCUGAUGCAGCCAUGGCGCGUGUGAGCAGAAGGCCUUCGGGUUGUUGACGCUUUCAGCAUCGAGGAACUUGUUGUGUUAAUACCGCCUGGUAUUGACGUUAUGGCAGAAGAAGCACCGGCUAACUCCGUGCCAGCGGCCGCGGUAUUACGGACCUGCAUAGCGUUAAUCGGAAUUACUGGGCGCUGUUUUACGUGGGAGAUUGGUAUCCCCUGAUGUGAAAGCCCCGGGCUCAACCUGGGAAUUGCAUUUUGAACUGGCACGCUAGAGUCCUGAAGAGGGUGGUAGAAUUUCCAGUGUAGCGGUGAAAUGCGUAGAUAUUGGAAGGAAUACCAGUGGCGAAGGCGGCCACCUGGUCAGAGACUGACGCUGAGGUACGAAAGCGUGGGGAGCAAACAGGAUUAGAUACCCUGGUAGUCCACGCCGUAGACGAUGUCAACUAGUUGUUCGUGUCAUUAAGACGUGAGUAACGCAGCUAACGCACUAAGUUGACCGCCUGCAGAGUACGGCCGCAAGGUUA
RNAcentral lists this ribosomal RNA (545 nucleotides) under uncultured bacterium. RNAcentral describes it as "bacterial SSU rRNA". It matches the Rfam family "Bacterial small subunit ribosomal RNA", at positions 355 to 896 of the family's 1533-position model. The record is from RNAcentral.